Molecule: ribosomal RNA, 253 nt
Filed under: uncultured bacterium
Lineage: Bacteria
Description: partial 16S ribosomal RNA
Rfam family: Bacterial small subunit ribosomal RNA
Source: RNAcentral
UACGUAGGUGGCAAGCGUUGUCCGGAUUUAUUGGGGUUAAAGGGUGCGUAGGCGGUCUUAUAAGUCAGUGCUGAAAUAUCCCGGCUUAACCGGGAGGGUGGCAUUGAUACUGUAGGACUUGAGUAAAGUUGAGGUUGGCGGAAUUGACGGUGUAGCGGUGAAAUGCUUAGAUAUCGUCAAGAACACCUAUAGCGAAGGCAGCUAACUAAACUUUAACUGACGCUGAGGCACGAAAGUGUGGGGAUCAAACAGG